Molecule: long non-coding RNA, 272 nt
Filed under: Homo sapiens (human)
Lineage: Eukaryota; Metazoa; Chordata; Mammalia; Primates; Hominidae
Description: non-protein coding lnc-BTRC-3:1
Source: RNAcentral
UGUGAAAGAGGGGAAAGAAGAUUCUACUCACCUCAGCUGAGCCAGGAGGGGCCUCGGGAGUAUGGCAGUGAGAGCUCCCAGCUCUGGGACCUAGAGAGCCAGUAUCACUGAGGCAGACUCAGGGAGGAAGCUAGGGGUAGAGUGCCUGGCUAGUGGCAGGUUUGGGUCUCUUCCUUAAUACUUAGCCUCUCUCCCCUGGCUCCAAGAGGAAAGAAGCUACCCUUCAAAAUCCAGAGCCAUAAGCCAACACUUUUUUUUUUUUUUUUCAGAUG